RNAcentral lists this unclassified non-coding RNA (1040 nucleotides) under Drosophila yakuba. RNAcentral describes it as "GE27675". Lineage: Eukaryota; Metazoa; Arthropoda; Insecta; Diptera; Drosophilidae. The record is from RNAcentral.
UACCAUAUAGUUGGGUCGCUGAAGUAUUGAUUGAUUAAUGAACUGAAUAUUUCAUGUGUCCGGUGGUGCCUUUUAUUUUCCCUUACUGGUGGCAUUAUCCUUGGCCAGAGCGCAACGUCUGGGUCUUGAUCCUUCCGCCCAGCACGACUAUUGCUGCCCCGUUGACAUUGUAAUUGAAUCAAUAAUAAAAUCAAAAUGUACGACGAUGACAAUGACACUUGGAUUUCGAUUUCGAUUUCGACUUCAACUCCGACUUUCCGUCUCCGUCUGGACAGAAACCCUUGUUCUCCGUUCUCCGUCCCCCGUGCUCCGUCUUCCGCGUUCCCGUCUGUCUCUGAAUCCAUGUCCGUGUUCGUUUCGCUGUCCGUGUCAUCGUGUCAUCAUUUCAGCAUUUCAGCACAAGGAACGGGAACGGGAAUGGCAACGUCACCAUCGCCGGCUCUCGAGUGCCGGACCCCCCUUUUUGAAAUCCGCUGGGUAUAGGUGUAGGCAUCGAACUUGGUUUACGAUUCGGUCGGGUCAGAUCUACUCCAUAUACAUAUGUGGGUACACAGUAAGAAAUUCGAUAUGACUCAAAUAAAAAAAAAUUCGAUUGAGAGCUUAUUCAUAUUUGGUCCACAGGCUUAGACUUGUUUACUGAUCUGGUACUUGAUUGUAAUUUAUUCAAAAGAUUGUGAAAAUACUAGAAGACACCAAGAGUUCAGAUGGGAACUCAGACUAUCACUGGAACACUAAAAGGGUGUAUUACAUUGGAAUUGGAAAGUGCCCAGAGACAUUGUGACAUCAAGCGCCGGUGCUGUUGCAAAUGAUCAGGGAACCCAUUAGCAGUUGAUCCGUGCCGUGCCAAACCAAACCGAACCGAACCCACAAACUGAAGAAGCUCCUCGGCAAACGACUUGACUUUGUCAGCCAAAUGACAACACGGUAUAAAUCACAAUAAUAUGUUCUAUGUCAGAAGUAUGGCAAAUCUGGCGGGCUUUCGACCACAAUCAGGAUCUCUAUAUAGAAACAAAAUUGGCAGAAGUGUGGACAUACCUAGC